This 655-nucleotide ribosomal RNA is filed under the name uncultured archaeon. RNAcentral's name for it is "bacterial SSU rRNA". It matches the Rfam family "Archaeal small subunit ribosomal RNA", at positions 164 to 817 of the family's 1478-position model. The record is from RNAcentral.
GAGGUACUGGAAGGUCCUCAGGCCGAAAGGGGCUCUGCCCGCCCGAGGAUGGGCCGGCGGCCGAUUAGGUAGUUGGUGGGGUAACGGCCCACCAAGCCGAAGAUCGGUACGGGCCAUGAGAGUGGGAGCCCGGAGAUGGACACUGAGACACGGGUCCAGGCCCUACGGGGCGCAGCAGGCGCGAAACCUCCGCAAUGCGGGCAACCGCGACGGGGGGACCCCCAGUGCCGUGGCAACGCCACGGCUUUUCCGGAGUGUAAAAAGCUCCGGGAAUAAGGGCUGGGCAAGGCCGGUGGCAGCCGCCGCGGUAAUACCGGCGGCCCGAGUGGUGGCCGCUAUUAUUGGGCCUAAAGCGUCCGUAGCCGGGCCCGUAAGUCCCUGGCGAAAUCCCACGGCUCAACCGUGGGGCUUGCUGGGGAUACUGCGGGCCUUGGGACCGGGAGAGGCCGGGGGUACCCCUGGGGUAGGGGUGAAAUCCUAUAAUCCCAGGGGGACCGCCAGUGGCGAAGGCGCCCGGCUGGAACGGGUCCGACGGUGAGGGACGAAGGCCAGGGGAGCGAACCGGAUUAGAUACCCGGGUAGUCCUGGCUGUAAAGGAUGCGGGCUAGGUGUCGGGCGAGCUUCGAGCUCGCCCGGUGCCGAAGGGAAGCCGUUA